UCUAUUUAUUUGGAUGAGCUAUUCCUUCAUGUUUUGAUGUGGAAUGCUCUGUGUUCUUCAUCAGCUGUUGAGAAUAACCCCGGCGGAGAGGAGCAGAGAAUAUGUGCUGCUUUCCUUCCUGGAGCACCAGAGCUGUGAGUGCAGGCCCAGACGACACCACCUGAGAAAUCAGCACAGGAGGAGGCGGAAGGGCAAACGCAGGAGGAGACGGAGAGGAAGGACGGAUGAGGAUUGAGACACAGCCGGGAUAUGAUGAUCACUAUGGCAAAUAGACACAGACCAUGCAUCACAUAAGCACUUCUGGACUUUGGAUCAGGAUCAGCACAAAACCCGGCUUCUAGCGAUCAACACAUCUGUGUUUAUACUGACAGUACUGGAUCACAGAUUGUCUUUGAGAAACCAGUCAAUAACGCUGCUAAACUGAAGGAAACAGGCUUUAUCAGCGAGCAAAUGUGAAAUACCUCAGUGCUGCUAUACAAUUAACUCAACAGUCUGGGACAUUUACAAUAAGAAUAUAAAAACAAUACCAUGUAUGUUCAUAUCCCCAUUAUGUGUCUUAAUGUAUUUUAUAAAACAAUAAACUCACAGUAUUUAAAGAAAU
Molecule: long non-coding RNA, 601 nt
Organism: Carassius carassius (crucian carp)
Lineage: Eukaryota; Metazoa; Chordata; Actinopteri; Cypriniformes; Cyprinidae
Exons: 4
Source: RefSeq, a predicted model, not a curated record